UUCGCCCUUAGAGUUUGAUCCUGGCUCAGAGCGAACGCUGGCGGCAGGCUUAACACAUGCAAGUCGAGCGGGCGUAGCAAUACGUCAGCGGCAGACGGGUGAGUAACGCGUGGGAACGUACCUUUUGGUUCGGAACAACACAGGGAAACUUGUGCUAAUACCGGAUAAGCCCUUACGGGGAAAGAUUUAUCGCCGAAAGAUCGGCCCGCGUCUGAUUAGCUAGUUGGUGAGGUAACGGCUCACCAAGGCGACGAUCAGUAGCUGGUCUGAGAGGAUGAUCAGCCACAUUGGGACUGAGACACGGCCCAAACUCCUACGGGAGGCAGCAGUGGGGAAUAUUGGACAAUGGGGGCAACCCUGAUCCUGCCAUGCCGCGUGAGUGAUGAAGGCCCUAGGGUUGUAAAGCUCUUUUGUGCGGGAAGAUAAUGACGGUACCGCAAGAAUAAGCCCCGGCUAACUUCGUGCCAGCAGCCGCGGUAAUACGAAGGGGGCUAGCGUUGCUCGGAAUCACUGGGCGUAAAGGGUGCGUAGGCGGAUCUUUAAGUCAGAGGUGAAAGCCUGGAGCUCAACUCCAGAACUGCCUUUGAUACUGGGGAUCUUGAGUUCGGGAGAGGUGAGUGGAACUGCGAGUGUAGAGGUGAAAUUCGUAGAUAUUCGCAAGAACACCAGUGGCGAAGGCGGCUCACUGGCCCGAUACUGACGCUGAGGCACGAAAGCGUGGGGAGCAAACAGGAUUAGAUACCCUGGUAGUCCACGCCGUAAAC
RNAcentral lists this ribosomal RNA (764 nucleotides) under uncultured bacterium. RNAcentral's name for it is "bacterial SSU rRNA". It matches the Rfam family "Bacterial small subunit ribosomal RNA", at positions 1 to 807 of the family's 1533-position model. The record is from RNAcentral.